Molecule: ribosomal RNA, 301 nt
Filed under: uncultured bacterium
Lineage: Bacteria
Description: partial 16S ribosomal RNA
Rfam family: Bacterial small subunit ribosomal RNA
Source: RNAcentral
CAGCAGCCGCGGGAACACGGAGGGUGCAAGCGUUAUCCGGAUUCACUGGGUUUAAAGGGUGCGUAGGCGGAUCUGUAAGUCAGUGGUGAAAUCUCCAGGCUUAACCUGGAAACUGCCGUUGAUACUAUAGGUCUUGAAUUUUGUGGAGGUUAGCGGAAUAUGUCAUGUAGCGGUGAAAUGCAUAGAUAUGACAUAGAACACCAAUUGCGAAGGCAGCUGGCUACACAACUAUUGACGCUGAGGCACGAAAGCGUGGGGAUCAAACAGGAUUAGAUACCCCCGUAGUCCCUGUCUCUUAUAC